RNAcentral lists this long non-coding RNA (552 nucleotides) under Pelobates cultripes (western spadefoot toad). The record is from RNAcentral. Lineage: Eukaryota; Metazoa; Chordata; Amphibia; Anura; Pelobatidae.
CUGUCCCUGCCUCACCCCCCAAUUACGUCCAACCCGCAAUCACACUGACAGACGUACUGGCACAUACACACACAGACAGACAUUAAAACAUUCACAGAUACAUAUUGACACACACAGUCACUACACACAAAUAUAUACUGGCAGACAUACUGACACACACACAGACAUACAUACAUACAUACAUACAUACAUACAUACACAGACACAUACAUUAACAGAUAUACUGCCACACACACAAACACAUACACUGACAGAUAUACUAAAACACACAGACACAUACACUGACAGGCACAUUGACACACACACACAGGCAUAAUGACAUAUACACACACACACACACACACACACAGGCAUACUGACAUAUACACAGACAGACGUAAUGGCUGAUACAGACAGACAUUAAACAUUCACAGAUAUAUACUGACACACACAUACGCUGACAUACAAAUAUAUCCUGGCAGACAUACUGACACACACACAGACAUACAUACAUACACACAGACACAUACACUGACAGACAUACUGACUGACACACACAUACACAGACAUACU